RNAcentral lists this long non-coding RNA (1138 nucleotides) under Sander lucioperca (pikeperch). RNAcentral's name for it is "lncRNA (ENSSLUG00000015976.1)". Lineage: Eukaryota; Metazoa; Chordata; Actinopteri; Perciformes; Percidae. The record is from RNAcentral.
AAGCCUGGCUGUGACUCCAUCUUUGGAUCAAAGCAGCAGGAGGACGCCUGCAUGGUGUGUGGAGGACAAAACACCACCUGCCUGCACCACAAGAACGUGUACCAGAGCUACGGUCUGGAGGCAGGCGGACCUUUUGGAUACAACGAAGUGGCCAUGAUUCCAGCUGGAGCCACUCACAUCCGAGUCACUGAUAACAGCAGAAAUUAUCUAGGUAAGAUUCAGCCUGUCACACACACACAUGCACAUACAGGACACCUGGGCUGCCGUGUAUAUCAGUUCCAGCUUUCUGCAGAAGACCCACGGCUGCAGUGUAAAUCAGGCACUUGAAGUAAUUCCUAGACUUACUAUUACUUCCUCUCCCCAGAUACAGGAGGGGCUCAGCAGUCCCAUCUGGUCUCCGGUCCUGCUGUGUGUUUUCCAGGCAACAUAAUAACCAAGGGCAUCUAUUCUCAGCCUUGUUUAUGAGACCAAAAUAAAACGGGCCCCGAAAUGGUACACACUGUGGCCUUGAAAGGGACGCUCGUAAAGGCUUUAUCUGACCACUGGCUCAAGGCAGGUGAAAGUACUUGUUUCCAUUUCAUGUCAUGGAAAAUCCCUCUCCCACCAUUGAGGAGAGACAGCUGCCAUACAUAGCCAGCUGGCAUAUUUCUGUUUCUGACAGCCUGCCUUUACUUCAACAUGGCCCACUUAUAUAGAGAGCUAAUUGUUGGCAUGUCAUUACUAAUACAGUGCCCGUUCGAAACGUGCCGAUUGCUUGGCCUCCGGUAUUGCUGCUUGCAGCUUUUUGCUUAUCCAAACAACAUUACACUCGACACUGCGCUUCCUUGGAUCCUGAGAAUUACAUCUGUCAUGACGUAGUUGCUGGAGUAUAUGCAUCAUUUGCUAACAGCUAGCUAUUUGGAACCACGCUAUUUCCGGUAACAAUAGCGUUAGUUAUGAAAGUUACAUUUCCGAUGCUUGAAAUGUUUGAGGUUGCUACAAUGUAACAUCUCCGGUCUCUCUUUCUUCAUCUGUUCUUGAAUGUUAUGCAGCGAGCGACGGAGAGUGAGCUGUACCCAGCAUGCCGUUUGGCAGUGUAACAGUUAAUAGGGGUCCCCUCUCAAUACACGACACAGUGUGUACAUAAAACACUACUAAU